Molecule: long non-coding RNA, 502 nt
Filed under: Dicentrarchus labrax (European seabass)
Lineage: Eukaryota; Metazoa; Chordata; Actinopteri; Moronidae
Description: lncRNA (ENSDLAG00005030165.1)
Source: RNAcentral
AAAAACGGCACGCUGCCAUUGUUGAAUGAGAAAUCUAGUGCUAUAAAAGGUCAACUUUUCAAAAACUCUGAAAAUAGAGCUUGAUGAAUAUUGCUUUUAUUCGCUUUCAGAAAUCACCCCACUUGAAGUAACAGUAAGAUGAAAAUGUAGAUCUGCGAAGAAUACAGCUCGUAGAAAAAAGAAGGAAACAGAGAUCGGAACCAAUCUUCAGGCAAAUUAUCCUCCUGUCUUUUUAAGCACAGAAACCAGAAAGGACUGACGCAGGAAGAAGAGAUUUUCUUACACCCCCAUCAUCUACCGGGAAGGAAGUCUCGGUGUAUCCUCUCUUCACCACCUCAGGGACGGAUAGGGCUUCCACUGGCAUCUUGUUUACAGACCAACAGUGGUAGUGGUUGGUGUCGACAGCAGUAACUGAAGACAGUGAUUCUGAAGAUGAUCUUUUGUGUCAUCCUACUCAAUCAUGGCACAUCAACCUGGAAGAGAGGUGAAAAAGAAAUGUCAG